RNAcentral lists this ribosomal RNA (2891 nucleotides) under Pseudomonas putida. RNAcentral's name for it is "23S ribosomal RNA". It matches the Rfam family "Bacterial large subunit ribosomal RNA". RNAcentral also lists the same sequence under 1 other name. The record is from RNAcentral. Lineage: Bacteria; Pseudomonadati; Pseudomonadota; Gammaproteobacteria; Pseudomonadales; Pseudomonadaceae.
GGUCAAGUGAAGAAGCGCAUACGGUGGAUGCCUUGGCAGUCAGAGGCGAUGAAAGACGUGGUAGCCUGCGAUAAGCUUCGGGGAGUCGGCAAACAGACUUUGAUCCGGAGAUCUCUGAAUGGGGGAACCCACUCAGCAUAAGCUGAGUAUCUUGUACUGAAUACAUAGGUGCAAGAGGCGAACCAGGGGAACUGAAACAUCUAAGUACCCUGAGGAAAAGAAAUCAACCGAGAUUCCCUUAGUAGUGGCGAGCGAACGGGGACUAGCCCUUAAGUGGCUUUGAGAUUAGCGGAACGCUCUGGAAAGUGCGGCCAUAGUGGGUGAUAGCCCUGUACGCGAAAAUCUCUUAGUCAUGAAAUCGAGUAGGACGGAGCACGAGAAACUUUGUCUGAAUAUGGGGGGACCAUCCUCCAAGGCUAAAUACUACUGACUGACCGAUAGUGAACCAGUACCGUGAGGGAAAGGCGAAAAGAACCCCGGAGAGGGGAGUGAAAUAGAACCUGAAACCGUAUGCGUACAAGCAGUGGGAGCCUACUUUGUUAGGUGACUGCGUACCUUUUGUAUAAUGGGUCAGCGACUUAUAUUCAGUGGCGAGCUUAACCGAAUAGGGGAGGCGUAGCGAAAGCGAGUCUUAAUAGGGCGCUUAGUCGCUGGGUAUAGACCCGAAACCGGGCGAUCUAUCCAUGGGCAGGUUGAAGGUUAGGUAACACUGACUGGAGGACCGAACCGACUACCGUUGAAAAGUUAGCGGAUGACCUGUGGAUCGGAGUGAAAGGCUAAUCAAGCUCGGAGAUAGCUGGUUCUCCUCGAAAGCUAUUUAGGUAGCGCCUCAUGUAUCACUGUAGGGGGUAGAGCACUGUUUCGGCUAGGGGGUCAUCCCGACUUACCAAACCGAUGCAAACUCCGAAUACCUACAAGUGCCGAGCAUGGGAGACACACGGCGGGUGCUAACGUCCGUCGUGAAAAGGGAAACAACCCAGACCGUCAGCUAAGGUCCCAAAGUCAUGGUUAAGUGGGAAACGAUGUGGGAAGGCUUAGACAGCUAGGAGGUUGGCUUAGAAGCAGCCACCCUUUAAAGAAAGCGUAAUAGCUCACUAGUCGAGUCGGCCUGCGCGGAAGAUGUAACGGGGCUCAAACCAUGCACCGAAGCUACGGGUAUCACUUAGGUGAUGCGGUAGAGGAGCGUUCUGUAAGCCUGUGAAGGUGAGUUGAGAAGCUUGCUGGAGGUAUCAGAAGUGCGAAUGCUGACAUGAGUAACGACAAUGGGAGUGAAAAACUCCCACGCCGAAAGACCAAGGUUUCCUGCGCAACGUUAAUCGACGCAGGGUUAGUCGGUCCCUAAGGCGAGGCUGAAAAGCGUAGUCGAUGGAAAACAGGUUAAUAUUCCUGUACUUCUAGUUAUUGCGAUGGAGGGACGGAGAAGGCUAGGCCAGCUUGGCGUUGGUUGUCCAAGUUUAAGGUGGUAGGCUGAGAUCUUAGGUAAAUCCGGGAUCUUAAGGCCGAGAGCUGAUGACGAGUUGCCAUUAGGCGACGAAGUGGUUGAUGCCAUGCUUCCAAGAAAAGCUUCUAAGCUUCAGAUAACUAGGAACCGUACCCCAAACCGACACAGGUGGUUGGGUAGAGAAUACCAAGGCGCUUGAGAGAACUCGGGUGAAGGAACUAGGCAAAAUGGCACCGUAACUUCGGGAGAAGGUGCGCCGGUGAGGGUGAAGGACUUGCUCCGUAAGCUCAUGCCGGUCGAAGAUACCAGGCCGCUGCGACUGUUUAUUAAAAACACAGCACUCUGCAAACACGAAAGUGGACGUAUAGGGUGUGACGCCUGCCCGGUGCCGGAAGGUUAAUUGAUGGGGUUAGCUAACGCGAAGCUCUUGAUCGAAGCCCCGGUAAACGGCGGCCGUAACUAUAACGGUCCUAAGGUAGCGAAAUUCCUUGUCGGGUAAGUUCCGACCUGCACGAAUGGCGUAACGAUGGCGGCGCUGUCUCCACCCGAGACUCAGUGAAAUUGAAAUCGCUGUGAAGAUGCAGUGUAUCCGCGGCUAGACGGAAAGACCCCGUGAACCUUUACUAUAGCUUUGCACUGGACUUUGAAUUUGCUUGUGUAGGAUAGGUGGGAGGCUUUGAAGCGUGGACGCCAGUUCGCGUGGAGCCAUCCUUGAAAUACCACCCUGGCAACUUUGAGGUUCUAACUCAGGUCCGUUAUCCGGAUCGAGGACAGUGUAUGGUGGGUAGUUUGACUGGGGCGGUCUCCUCCUAAAGAGUAACGGAGGAGUACGAAGGUGCGCUCAGACCGGUCGGAAAUCGGUCGUAGAGUAUAAAGGCAAAAGCGCGCUUGACUGCGAGACAGACACGUCGAGCAGGUACGAAAGUAGGUCUUAGUGAUCCGGUGGUUCUGUAUGGAAGGGCCAUCGCUCAACGGAUAAAAGGUACUCCGGGGAUAACAGGCUGAUACCGCCCAAGAGUUCAUAUCGACGGCGGUGUUUGGCACCUCGAUGUCGGCUCAUCACAUCCUGGGGCUGAAGCCGGUCCCAAGGGUAUGGCUGUUCGCCAUUUAAAGUGGUACGCGAGCUGGGUUUAGAACGUCGUGAGACAGUUCGGUCCCUAUCUGCCGUGGACGUUUGAGAUUUGAGAGGGGCUGCUCCUAGUACGAGAGGACCGGAGUGGACGAACCUCUGGUGUUCCGGUUGUCACGCCAGUGGCAUUGCCGGGUAGCUAUGUUCGGAAGAGAUAACCGCUGAAAGCAUCUAAGCGGGAAACUUGCCUCAAGAUGAGAUCUCACUGGAGCCUUGAGCUCCCUGAAGGGCCGUCGAAGACUACGACGUUGAUAGGUUGGGUGUGUAAGCGCUGUGAGGCGUUGAGCUAACCAAUACUAAUUGCCCGUGAGGCUUGACCAU